Non-coding RNA from Xyrichtys novacula (pearly razorfish), 135 nucleotides. NCBI's taxonomy places the organism in Eukaryota, Metazoa, Chordata, Actinopteri, Labriformes, Labridae. The record is from the annotation of a GenBank genome assembly.
GGCUCUGAGCUGGUGAUGCAAGCAGUUUUUUUCUAUUUCUGCUCUUGGUUUGGAUUGAUCUCACUGCUUCAUAGUGAGAUCAAUCCAAACCAAGAGCAGAAAUAGAAAAACUGCUUGCAUCUCUGAGGUAAGCCA